AUAGCCGGCCUAGCUCAAUUGGUAGAGCAACUGACUUGUAAUCAGAGGGUCAGAGGUUCGAAUCCUCUAUGGCU
This 74-nucleotide transfer RNA is filed under the name Staphylococcus aureus. RNAcentral's name for it is "tRNA-Thr". The stretch from base 11 to 68 matches the Rfam family "tRNA", at positions 8 to 63 of the family's 71-position model. Rfam says of the family: Transfer RNA (tRNA) molecules are approximately 80 nucleotides in length. Their secondary structure includes four short double-helical elements and three loops (D, anti-codon, and T loops). The record is from RNAcentral. Lineage: Bacteria; Bacillati; Bacillota; Bacilli; Caryophanales; Staphylococcaceae.